Molecule: long non-coding RNA, 398 nt
Organism: Astyanax mexicanus (Mexican tetra)
Lineage: Eukaryota; Metazoa; Chordata; Actinopteri; Characiformes; Acestrorhamphidae
Exons: 4
Source: RefSeq, a predicted model, not a curated record
GUAAACUGUUUGUACAACACUGACAGGGAAGCACGGAGCGAGGAUGGAAAGACCAAAAAGACAAAAAUGUCUUCCUCAAAAAUAUGUGGACAAGGAGGAGACAGGUGUGACCAAAGAUGAACCCUCUAGGCAAGAAAGAAGCAGGCCAAGCAGCCAAGUUGAGGUGGCAAAGCUAAAGGUGGAAAUCAAAUUCCUUCAGGAUGAAUGCACAUUUUUGAAGGAACAUGUGGACAAAUUAUCAUCUGUUCCUGACAUGGCUGCAGGUCCUUCAGGAUGGAGAGGGGCAGAAGAUUCUGCAUGCUGCUCUCUGAUACAAGAAAAAAAGGAAAAGGACAAGAAGAAGAUAAAGAAGAACAAAAAAUAUAUAUUUUUUUCUAAAAGAAACGUAUAAUCAAUAA